UUGGAGGGCAAGUCUGGUGCCAGCAGCCGCGGUAAUUCCAGCUCCAAUAGCGUAUAUUAAAGUUGUUGCAGUUAAAAAGCUCGUAGUUGAAUUUCGGGGUUAGUAGGUUGGUCAUGCCUCUGGUAUGUACUGGUCUCACUGAUUCCUCCUUCCUUAUGAACCGUAAUGCCAUUAAUUUGGUGUUGCGGGGAAUUUGGACUGUUACUUGAAAAAUUGAGUGUUUAAAGCAAGCUAACGCUUGAAUACAUUAGCAUGGAAUAUGAAAUGGACG
This 271-nucleotide ribosomal RNA is filed under the name uncultured Glomus. Its description in RNAcentral is "partial 18S ribosomal RNA". It matches the Rfam family "Eukaryotic small subunit ribosomal RNA", at positions 548 to 827 of the family's 1831-position model. Lineage: Eukaryota; Fungi; Glomeromycota; Glomeromycetes; Glomerales; Glomeraceae. The record is from RNAcentral.